ACGCUGGGCCCUAGAGGCCCCGGGCCAGUGUGGUGUGUGUGAUUCCCUCGAGGUGGUGGAAUUCGGGUCCUUUGCUUCUCUUUCUGUACUGUCCGCUUGUCCCUCCUCCGUCCUUCAUCUCGAAGCGGGAAGCGGCUCUUCCUCCUCCCAGCUUCCAACCCAUCCCAGGCGGGCAGGUCUCAGCGUAGAUUCUGUGAUCACCUCAGAACAAAUUUCAUUGCCCUUUAUAGCGGCUACGGUGCUGGGGUGUCCGAGCCUCAGGGCUUUUUGUUGCUGUCCGGCCCGCAGCCCUCGAGCUGGGGCCUGGCCGGAGCACUGCACGGCCGCGGAGCGUGGGCUCCUAGCCAUUCUGUCGGCCCUGCUCUCGCUAGCCAGCUAUCUUUGUCUAUACCAGGUUUCUCCACAUUGCCCUCCCCCACGGUAAGUCACAGACCUGGCCAAAGUAACUACCUCCUCGCCCUGAGUCCCCACCCGUGUGGCAACCCUCUCCUGUCUACGGCCAUACCACACUGAACGCGCCCGCUCUGGUCUGAAAAGCUUACUAAUGCCAUCGCUCCCGCCUUGGGAUGUAUCAUUUUUUCCAGCUUGCCGCCCCUUGCCUUCUGACCUCUGCUCAUCUUUUUUUUUCUUUGCGGCCCCGGGUUAUCAUUUGCAGCCUUCCUCGUCCAUUAUUCUUGAUACCUUUGUAACUUCAUUCUUCUUGGAAAAGGAAUUUACUGAGCUUGAAAAGCCUUUAAGAACUUAAAACUAAAAGUAAUACAGAAGAGAACUGCCCUCCGUCCACGCACCAGCCAGCUCCAUUAUGGCAACACGAAGCCCCAGCAUUGUGAUUAGUGAUGAUGAACCAGGUUAUGACCUAGAUUUAUUUUGUAUACCUAAUCAUUACGCUCAGGAUUUGGAAAAGGUGUUUAUUCCUCAUGGAUUAAUUAUGGACAGGACAGAACGGCUUGCACGAGAUGUGAUGAAGGAGAUGGGAAGCCAUCACAUUGUAGCCCUCUGUGUGCUCAAGGGGGGCUAUAAAUUCUUUGCUGACCUGCUGGGUUACAUUCAAGCAGUGAACAGAAACAGUGAUAGAUCCAUUCUUAUGACUGUAGACUUCAUCAGACUGAAAAGCUGUAAUGACCAGUCCACAAGGGAUAUAAAAGUAAUUGGUGGAGAUGAUCUCUCAACUUUAACUGGAAAGAAUGUCUUGAUUGUUGAAGAUAUAAUUGAAACAGGCAAAACAAUGCAAACCUUGCUUUCCUUGGUCCAGCAGUAUAAUCCAAAGAUGGUCAAGGUUGCAAGUUUGCUGGUGAAAAGGACUCCUCAAAGUAUUGGAUACAGACCAGAUUUUGUUGGAUUUGAAAUUCCAGACAAGUUUGUUGUAGGAUAUGCCCUUGACUAUAAUGAAUAUUUCAGGGAUUUGAAUCAUGUUUGUGUCAUUAGUGAAACUGGAGAAGCAAAAUACAAAGCCCAAGAUGAGAGUUCAAGUUGAAUUUGGAAACAUCUAGAGUCCCAUUGAAAUCACUAGUAAAAUGAUCAAAUGUUCUAGUUCUGUGGCCAGCUGCUUAGAGGGGCUUCUUGCCUGUUCCUUCUAAGAAUUUUAUCUGUUUGGUAUGUUUGUUAGAAAUGUCAUUUGCUGCAUUCCUAAAGUCUUUAUUUGCACUAUGAGCCUAUAGACUAUCAGUUCCCUUUGGGUGGAUUGUUGUUUCACUUGUGAAUGAAAACUCUUAAACCACACCACUGUUGAAUGAAAAUAUUGAAAUUGUAUUUGUAGGAAACAUUUAAAGAGAAGAUAUAUUAAUUUUUACUUGGCAUUUUAAUUUUUAUAUAUUCAGGAAAAGACAAGUGAUUGAAUAUUGUUAAUUAUGCCACUGUGUUUAGAAAAGUAAGAAGCAGUCAGUUUUUGUAUCAAUGACAGCAUUUAAGAGGUAUUGUUUUGUUGGAUAAACCAUGUGUCCUUGAAUUAUUUUAGUGUUUCAGUAUUUUUCUGCUUGUUCAG
Molecule: non-coding RNA, 1981 nt
Organism: Callorhinus ursinus (northern fur seal)
Lineage: Eukaryota; Metazoa; Chordata; Mammalia; Carnivora; Otariidae
Source: RefSeq, a predicted model, not a curated record